UACGGCCACUUCACGUUGAAAUACCGGUACCCGUACGAUCACGGAAGUUAAGCAACGUCUAACCUGAUCAGUAUUUACAUGGGUGACCGUUUGGAAUACCAGGUACGGUA
Acanthosepion pharaonis is the source of this 110-nucleotide non-coding RNA. The record is from the annotation of a GenBank genome assembly. NCBI's taxonomy places the organism in Eukaryota, Metazoa, Mollusca, Cephalopoda, Sepiida, Sepiidae.